UGAUGAACGCUAGCUACAGGCUUAACACAUGCAAGUCCAGGGGCAGCAUGUUGGUUGCUUGCCACCAAUGAUGGCGACCGGCGCACGGGUGAGUAACGCGUAUCCAACCUACCCUUGUCCAUCGGAUAACCCGUCGAAAGGCGGACUAACACGAUAUGCGGUUCACAGCAGGCAUCUAACGUGAACGAAAUGUGAAGGAGAAAGAUGGGGAUGCGUCUGAUUAGCUUGUUGGCGGGGUAACGGCCCACCAAGGCUACGAUCAGUAGGGGUUCUGAGAGGAAGGUCCCCCACAUUGGAACUGAGACACGGUCCAAACUCCUACGGGAGGCAACAGUGAGGAAUAUUGCUCAAUGGACGAGAGUUUGAACCAACCAAGUAGCGUGCACGAUGACGGCCCUAUGGGUUGUAAACUGCUUUUAUAGGGGGAUAAAGUGUGCCACGUGUGCCAUAUUGCAGGUACCCUAUGAAUAAGGACCGGCUAAUUCCGUGCCAGCAGCCGCGGUAAUACGGAAGGUCCAGGCGUUAUCCGGAUUUAUUGGGUUUAAAGGGAGCGUAGGCCGUUUGGUAAGCGUGUUGUGAAAUGUCGGGGCUCAACCUGGGCAUUGCAACGCGAACUGUCAGACUUGAGUGCGCAGGAAGUAGGCGGAAUUCGUCGUGUAGCGGUGAAAUGCUUAGAUAUGACGAAGAACUCCGAUUGCGAAGGCAGCUUGCUGUAGCGCAACUGACGCUGAAGCUCGAAAGCGUGGGUAUCGAACAGGAUUAGAUACCCUGGUAGUCCACGCGGUAAACGAUGGAUGCUCGCUGUUUGCGUCUGACGUAAGCGGCCAAGCGAAAGCGGUAAGCAUCCCACUUGGGGAGUACGCCGGCAACGGUGAAACUCAAAGGAAUCGACGGGGGCCCGCACAA
Molecule: ribosomal RNA, 906 nt
Filed under: uncultured organism
Description: SSU rRNA
Rfam family: Bacterial small subunit ribosomal RNA
Source: RNAcentral